RNAcentral lists this ribosomal RNA (302 nucleotides) under uncultured eukaryote. RNAcentral describes it as "partial 18S ribosomal RNA". It matches the Rfam family "Eukaryotic small subunit ribosomal RNA", at positions 1470 to 1796 of the family's 1831-position model. The record is from RNAcentral.
CCCUUAGAUGUUCUGGGCCGCACGCGCGCUACACUGAUGCAUUCAACGAGUUUCUUCCUGGUCCGAGAGGAAUGGGUAACCUUUUGAAAGUGCAUCGUGAUAGGGAUAGACUAUUGCAAUUAUUGGUCUUCAACGAGGAAUUCCUAGUAGACGUAGUUCAUCAGACUGCAUCGAUUACGUCCCUGCCCUUUGUACACACCGCCCGUCGUUUCUUCCGACUGAUACUCAUUGUGAGUUGCAAGGAUCCUUUAUUGGAAAAUUGCCGCGAAUGCUUUGUAUUGGAGGAAGAAAAAGUCGUAACA